GCGAGCGAAGCGGGAAGAGCUCAAAUUUGUAAUCUGGCGCUUUCGGCGUCCGAGUUGUAAUCUCUAGAAGUGUUUUCCGCGUUGGACCGCACACAAGUCUGUUGGAAUACAGCGGCACAGUGGUGAGACCCCCGUUCACGGUGCGGAUGCCCAAUGCUUUGUGAUACACUUUCGAAGAGUCGAGUUGUUUGGGAAUGCAGCUCAAAUUGGGUGGUAAAUUCCAUCUAAAGCUAAAUAUUGGCGAGAGACCGAUAGCGAACAAGUACCGUGAGGGAAAGAUGAAAAGCACUUUGGAAAGAGAGUUAACAGUACGUGAAAUUGUUGGAAGGGAAACGCUUGAAGUCAGACUUGCUAUUCGGGCAACCGAGUUGCAGGCCAGCAUCAGUUUUUCGGGGCGGAAAAUCACGGUUAGAAGGUAGCAGUUUCGGCUGUGUUAUAGCUUUCCGUUGGAUACGUCCUGGGGGACUGAGGAACGCAGCGUGCUUUUUGCAGGAGCUUCGGCUUCAUCACGCUUAGGAUGCUGGUGUAAUGGCUUUAAACGACCC
This 545-nucleotide ribosomal RNA is filed under the name Rhodosporidiobolus poonsookiae. RNAcentral describes it as "eukaryotic LSU rRNA". It matches the Rfam family "Eukaryotic large subunit ribosomal RNA", at positions 89 to 650 of the family's 3401-position model. The record is from RNAcentral. Lineage: Eukaryota; Fungi; Basidiomycota; Microbotryomycetes; Sporidiobolales; Sporidiobolaceae.